RNAcentral lists this non-coding RNA (31 nucleotides) under Rattus norvegicus (Norway rat). The record is from RNAcentral. Lineage: Eukaryota; Metazoa; Chordata; Mammalia; Rodentia; Muridae.
CUCACUGAUCUUACUCCAAGAGGCAUGAGGA